RNAcentral lists this long non-coding RNA (523 nucleotides) under Hordeum vulgare. RNAcentral's name for it is "long non-coding RNA (HVUL_LNC020214)". The record is from RNAcentral. Lineage: Eukaryota; Viridiplantae; Streptophyta; Magnoliopsida; Poales; Poaceae.
UUUCCUCUCGCUUUCUUUUUUGUUCGAGUGGCCAAAUCGCUCUUGGCAGAGCAAGUGCAUGAUGAAGUGUCCGAGUAAAACGAGAUUGAAUGGAAAUGAAUGGACCAGCAGUCCUCUUUCUAUUGAUUCUCAAGUAUAUAUACAUCUGAAAGAGGUGCGAAGAAAAGGUGUCUGUUCGGAGGCAUCCCUCCAGAACAGAACAGGUGCUUGUUGGCAAUAGACACAAAGAGGAGACACGACUGUUCGGGUUGGACAUAUCCCUUGAAUUAAUCUACUAAUUAAUUUGUAACAGGGGCGUCAGAGCGGUCGGUUGGUGGGACGAGGAUCCUUGGCGGCGUGGGUUGAUGGGAGCGACGCGGGGGUGGCACUAGGGUUUGUGGUGUGGCCGGCUGGGCCACUUUGGCCUAGUCGGCCAACGGGGCUUUUAUUUUUUAUUUUUAUUUUUUUUAGAAAUAGCUUUCUAUUUUAAUUAUAUAGGGAUUGUAAUAAUCUUAUAAAUGCCCUGUUCACCUGAUAAUUCAUU